AGAACAAACUCAACGUUCAUAUGGCUAGAGCAUUAACCGGCCGUACCGCUGCUUGCCACCACCCUCCCUGAUCCACCUAAGGCCUUUACAACAACCGGCCAGUCGAAACUUGUACAAGAACAAACUCAACGUUCAUAUGGCUAGAGCAUUAACCGGCCGUACCGCUGCUUGCCACCACCCUCCCUGAUCCACCUAAGGCCUUUACAACAACCGGCCAGGCCCCUUCCAUGCAUAAAAUCCACCACCCUGACGAACAUGUCCCUCUUGGAGAUCCCAAACGGUCGCUUUCCUCUGCUCCGUGGGAAACGGACAAGCCACUCCUCGUUGCCUCAGACCUCGGUUGGACUGCCGCUCCACUUAAAGAAUCGAAGGACUAAAAUGCCCCUUCAAUUUAAUCUGGUAACGGCUACCUGGUCCAUAAGUGGAGGAUUGAGUGGCAGUCGUGUGAAUUUAAGCAAGUACAGAGGCAUACAUCUCGGAUUCCGAGAUGGGUCCACGCUCUGUUCUGCUUUAGAAUUCCGA
RNAcentral lists this long non-coding RNA (522 nucleotides) under Elaeis guineensis (African oil palm). RNAcentral describes it as "long non-coding RNA (EGUI_LNC065472)". The record is from RNAcentral. Lineage: Eukaryota; Viridiplantae; Streptophyta; Magnoliopsida; Arecales; Arecaceae.